RNAcentral lists this ribosomal RNA (530 nucleotides) under Geotrichum pseudocandidum. RNAcentral's name for it is "Galactomyces pseudocandidus partial 26S ribosomal RNA". It matches the Rfam family "Eukaryotic large subunit ribosomal RNA", at positions 86 to 656 of the family's 3401-position model. Lineage: Eukaryota; Fungi; Ascomycota; Dipodascomycetes; Dipodascales; Dipodascaceae. The record is from RNAcentral.
ACGGCGAGUGAAGCGGCAAAAGCUCAAAUUUGAAAUCGGCCAUCAGGUCGAGUUGUAAUUUGUAGAUUGUACUUUGAGAGCGGAUUAAAGUCUGUUGGAACACAGCGCCUUAGAGGGUGACAGCCCCGUUAAAAUCUAUUCUCAUUGUAAGGUACUUUCGAAGAGUCGAGUUGUUUGGGAAUGCAGCUCUAAGUGGGAGGUAAAUUCCUUCUAAAGCUAAAUAUUGACGAGAGACCGAUAGCGAACAAGUACUGUGAAGGAAAGAUGAAAAGCACUUUGAAAAGAGAGUGAAAAAGUACGUGAAAUUGUUAAAAGGGAAGGGUAUUGAAUCAGACGUGGUGCUGUUGUUCAACUUUGUUUCGGCAUGGUGUACUCAGCAGUACUAGGCCAAGGUGGGGUGUUUGGGAGUGAAAAAGGAAUAGGAACGUAGCUCUUCGGAGUGUUAUAAACUAUUUUCAUAGCUCCUCAGGCGCCUCAGGACUGCGCUUCGGCAAGGACUUUGGCAUAAUGAUUCUAUACCGCCCGUCUUG